This 255-nucleotide ribosomal RNA is filed under the name uncultured bacterium. Its description in RNAcentral is "partial 16S ribosomal RNA". It matches the Rfam family "Bacterial small subunit ribosomal RNA", at positions 524 to 777 of the family's 1533-position model. The record is from RNAcentral.
UACGUAGGUGACAAGCGUUGUCCGGAUUUACUGGGCGUAAAGAGCGCGCAGGCGGUCGUUCAAGUCGAGUGUGAAAGCCCCCGGCUCAACUGGGGAGGGUCACGCGAUACUGAUCGACUCGAAGGCAGGAGAGGGAAGUGGAAUUCCCGGUGUAGUGGUGAAAUGCGUAGAUAUCGGGAGGAACACCAGUGGCGAAGGCGACUUCCUGGCCUGUUCUUGACGCUGAGGCGCGAAAAGCUAGGGGAGCAAACGGGG